This 312-nucleotide RNase P RNA is filed under the name Bacteriovoracaceae bacterium. Its description in RNAcentral is "RNase P RNA component class A". It matches the Rfam family "Bacterial RNase P class A". Rfam says of the family: Ribonuclease P (RNase P) is a ubiquitous endoribonuclease, found in archaea, bacteria and eukarya as well as chloroplasts and mitochondria. The record is from RNAcentral. Lineage: Bacteria; Pseudomonadati; Bdellovibrionota; Bacteriovoracia; Bacteriovoracales; Bacteriovoracaceae.
UAAGAAGAAGGGACUGCCGCCGGUGGCGUUAAAAACCACGGGAGGAAGGUCUGGACACCGUAAGGCAUCGUAGCGGGUAACGCCCGUCCACCGUGAGGUGAGGACCAGUGCAACAGAAAGUAUGUAUGGCGAAAGGCAACUUUCGUGCGUAGUGAAACCAGGUAAACUCUACGAGGUGCAAGCCCACAUAGGUUAGCAUUUGAUGUCCGCCUGACAGACGCUAACGGGUAGGGUGCUUGAGGUCUUCGGUAACGGAGAUCCUAGAAGAAUGGUAGUCGAAAACAGAAUCCGGCCUAUGCUUUUUCUUAGCCC